RNAcentral lists this ribosomal RNA (484 nucleotides) under uncultured Arthrobacter sp. RNAcentral describes it as "bacterial SSU rRNA". It matches the Rfam family "Bacterial small subunit ribosomal RNA", at positions 8 to 507 of the family's 1533-position model. Lineage: Bacteria; Bacillati; Actinomycetota; Actinomycetes; Micrococcales; Micrococcaceae. The record is from RNAcentral.
AGAGUUUGAUCCUGGCUCAGGAUGAACGCUGGCGGCGUGCUUAACACAUGCAAGUCGAACGAUGAUGCCCACUUGUGGGUGGAUUAGUGGCGAACGGGUGAGUAACACGUGAGUAACCUGCCCUUGACUCUGGGAUAAGCCUGGGAAACUGGGUCUAAUACCGGAUAUGACCUUCCAUCGCAUGGUGGUUGGUGGAAAGCUUUUGUGGUUUUGGAUGGACUCGCGGCCUAUCAGCUUGUUGGUGGGGUAAUGGCCUACCAAGGCGACGACGGGUAGCCGGCCUGAGAGGGUGACCGGCCACACUGGGACUGAGACACGGCCCAGACUCCUACGGGAGGCAGCAGUGGGGAAUAUUGCACAAUGGGCGCAAGCCUGAUGCAGCGACGCCGCGUGAGGGAUGACGGCCUUCGGGUUGUAAACCUCUUUCAGUAGGGAAGAAGCGAAAGUGACGGUACCUGCAGAAGAAGCGCCGGCUAACUACGUG